GAUGAAGAACGUAGCGAAAUGCGAUAAGUAGUGUGAAUUGCAGAAUUCAGUGAAUCAUCGAAUCUUUGAACGCACAUUGCGCCCCAUGGUAUUCCGUGGGGCAUGCCUGUUCGAGCGUCAUUUACCCCCUCAAGCUCCGCUUGGUGUUGGGCGUCUGUCCCGCUUCGCGCGCGGACUCGCCCCAAAGGUAUUGGCAGCGGUCGUGCCAGCUUCUCGCGCAGCACAUUGCGCUUCUCGAGGCACCGGUGGGCCCGCGUCCAUCAAGCUCACCCCCCCAGUUUGACCUCGGAUCAGGUAGGGAUACCCGCUGAACUUAAGCAUAUCAAUAAGCCGGAGGA
Molecule: unclassified non-coding RNA, 338 nt
Filed under: soil metagenome
Description: partial contains 5.8S ribosomal RNA, internal transcribed spacer 2, and large subunit ribosomal RNA
Rfam family: 5.8S ribosomal RNA (bases 1-120)
Source: RNAcentral